RNAcentral lists this ribosomal RNA (412 nucleotides) under uncultured bacterium. RNAcentral's name for it is "bacterial SSU rRNA". It matches the Rfam family "Bacterial small subunit ribosomal RNA", at positions 356 to 773 of the family's 1533-position model. The record is from RNAcentral.
GGGGAAUUUUGGACAAUGGACGAAAGUCUGAUCCAGCGACGCCGCGUGGAGGACGAAGGUUUUCGGAUCGUAAACUCCUUUUACAGGGGACGAAAGCGGGCAACCGUUUGACGGUACUCUGUGAAUAAGCCACGGCUAACUACGUGCCAGCAGCCGCGGUAAUACGUAGGUGGCGAGCGUUACUCGGAAUUACUAGGCGUAAAGCGCGUGUAGGCGGGAGCUUAAGUCUGUCGUGAAAGCUCAGGGCUCAACCCUGAAAUGCCGGCAGAAACUGGGCUUCUUGAGUGCGGUAGAGGAGAUCGGAAUUCCAGGUGUAGCGGUGAAAUGCGUAGAUAUCUGGAAGAACGCCAAAGGCGAAGGCAGAUCUCUGGGCCGUUACUGACGCUGAGACGCGAAAGCUAGGGGAGCAAAC